This 560-nucleotide ribosomal RNA is filed under the name uncultured fungus. RNAcentral's name for it is "eukaryotic LSU rRNA". The stretch from base 198 to 351 matches the Rfam family "5.8S ribosomal RNA". Lineage: Eukaryota; Fungi. The record is from RNAcentral.
UCUCCGUAGGUGAACCUGCGGAGGGAUCAUUACACAAAUACGAAGGCGGGCUGGAACCUCUCGGGGUUACAGCCUUGCUGAAUUAUUCACCCUUGUCUUUUGCGUACUUCUUGUUUCCUUGGUGGGUUCGCCCACCACUAGGACAAACAUAAACCUUUUGUAAUUGCAAUCAGCGUCAGUAACAAAUUAAUAAUUACAACUUUCAACAACGGAUCUCUUGGUUCUGGCAUCGAUGAAGAACGCAGCGAAAUGCGAUAAGUAGUGUGAAUUGCAGAAUUCAGUGAAUCAUCGAAUCUUUGAACGCACAUUGCGCCCUUUGGUAUUCCAAAGGGCAUGCCUGUUCGAGCGUCAUUUGUACCCUCAAGCUUUGCUUGGUGUUGGGCGUCUUGUCUCUAGCUUUGCUGGAGACUCGCCUUAAAGUAAUUGGCAGCCGGCCUACUGGUUUCGGAGCGCAGCACAAGUCGCACUCUCUAUCAGCAAAGGUCUAGCAUCCAUUAAGCCUUUUUUUCAACUUUUGACCUCGGAUCAGGUAGGGAUACCCGCUGAACUUAAGCAUAUCA